This 565-nucleotide ribosomal RNA is filed under the name uncultured bacterium. Its description in RNAcentral is "partial 16S ribosomal RNA". It matches the Rfam family "Bacterial small subunit ribosomal RNA", at positions 355 to 1375 of the family's 1533-position model. The record is from RNAcentral.
UGGGGAAUAUUGCACAAUGGGCGAAAGCCUGAUGCAGCAACGCCGCGUGAGUGAUGAAGGCCUUCGGGUUGUAAAGCUCUGUCUUUUGGGACGAUAAUGACGGUACCAAAGGAGGAAGCCACGGCUAACUACGUGCCAGCAGCCGCGGUAAUACGUAGGUGGCAAGCGUUGUCCGCAUUUACUGGGCGUAAAGGAUGCGUAGGCGGAUUUUUAAGUGAGAUGUGAAAACCCUAAGCUUAACUUGGGGACUGCAUUUCAUACUGGAAAUCUAGAGUGCGGGAGAGGAGAAUGGAAUUCCUAGUGUAGCGGUGAAAUGCGUAGAGAUUAGGAAGAACACCAGUGGCGAAGGCGAUUCUCUGGACCGUAACUGACGCUGAGGCAUGAAAGCGUGGGUAGCAAACAGGAUUAGAUACCCUGGUAGUCCACGCCGUAAAACGAUGAGUACUAGGUGUAGGAGGUAUCGACCCCUUCUGUGCCGCAGUUAACACAAUAAGUACUCCGCCUGGGAAGUACGAUCGCAAGAUUAAAAACUCAAAUGAAUUGACGGGGUCAUAGCUGUUUUCCU